UGAGUAACGCGUGGGUAACCUGCCUCACACUGGGGGAUAGCAGUUGAGACGACUGAUAAUACCGCAUAAGCGCACAGUAUCGCAUGGUACAGUGUGAAAAACUCCGGUGGUGUGAGAUGGACCCGCGUCUGAUUAGCUAGUUGGUGAGGUAACGGCCCACCAAGGCGACGAUCAGUAGCCGGCCUGAGGGGGUGUACGGCCACAUUGGGACUGAGACACGGCCCAAACUCCUACGGGAGGCAGCAGUGGGGAAUAUUGGACAAUGGGGGAAACCCUGAUCCAAGCGACGCCGCGUGGGUGAAGAAGUAUCUCGGUAUGUAAAGCUCUAUCAGCAGGGAAGAUAAUGACGGUACCUGACUAAGAAGCACCGGCUAAUACGUGCCAGCCGCGGC
Molecule: ribosomal RNA, 392 nt
Filed under: uncultured bacterium
Lineage: Bacteria
Description: bacterial SSU rRNA
Rfam family: Bacterial small subunit ribosomal RNA
Source: RNAcentral